Molecule: long non-coding RNA, 969 nt
Filed under: Marmota monax (woodchuck)
Lineage: Eukaryota; Metazoa; Chordata; Mammalia; Rodentia; Sciuridae
Source: RNAcentral
GCCUAAAUGAAGAUCUUUUUGUUUCUCUUUGCAUAGGGCUGAACUCUUGGUUGCAACUGACAGAAAACUAGCUGAAACUACCUUUGAUCAGAAGAAGGAAUUCUUUGUUGGUAUACCUGAAGGAGGAGAAGAAUGGUUUAACUAGAAUCAUCAUAAACAUUGGUUUUACUGUCUCACAUAGAUUUCUUCUAGGAUCCUAGUUACUGGCAGAUCUGGCUCCUAAGUGUCACAGAAGAAAUGAUUCCCUCUCUAAGAUUUCUUUCCUGUACCCUUUUAAAUUUUUUUUUUUUUUUGGUGGUUCUAGGGAAAGAACCUCAAAGUCUCACAUAUGUGAGGCAAGCACUCUACCACUGUGCUACAAGCCCAGUCCUUUUUGAGUCAGGGUCUCACUAAAUUGUCUAGGUUGGCCUCAAACUUGCAAUCCUCCUGCCUCAGCCUCCCAAAUAAAUUAGGAUUACAGGUGUGUGCCACUAUGCCCCACUCCUGCAACCAUUUUGUUAGUGAAAAAUCCCAAGGAAAGAAUGGUCUGAAUCAGACACGUGUCAAUCAUUGUUGUGCUAUCUUAGCCCCUAAGGCUGGAUGAGAAGUUAUCAACCCUUAUACCAAUUCCUGUGAUUGGUGAAGCUGGGAUUAAGAAGAUGGUAGCUGUCAACAGAACUCAGGGUAUGGCUGGGGAAAAUCUCUCCAGAGAAUAAGGGAAUAAAUUUUUGCAGGGGAAAAGUACAUAAAUAAAAGGAAGCAAGUCACUUAGAUAAGUAGAGCUAAGAAUUAUUUUCUUUUACUGGGGAUUGAACUCAGGGUUUGUAUAUAUGAGGCUAAAGCUUAACCAAUGAGAUACAUCCCUAGCUCUGACUAAAUAUCUUUCAAUUGCUAUUAUAUUGUAGGUGGCUAAAUGACCUUUUUAAUUCAGGCACAAAAAGAUUAUCCUUAUAAAAACAAGUAAUUUAUGUUUCAUCUCCCUAUUUUGAU